Molecule: ribosomal RNA, 572 nt
Filed under: Lankesterella sp. (in: apicomplexans)
Lineage: Eukaryota; Apicomplexa; Conoidasida; Eucoccidiorida; Lankesterellidae
Description: SSU rRNA
Rfam family: Eukaryotic small subunit ribosomal RNA
Source: RNAcentral
GGUAACGGGGAAUUAGGGUUCGAUUCCGGAGAGGGAGCCUGAGAAACGGCUACCACAUCUAAGGAAGGCAGCAGGCGCGCAAAUUACCCAAUGAAAACAGUUUCGAGGUAGUGACGAGAAAUAACAAUACGGGGCAUUAAAUGCUUUGUAAUUGGAAUGAUGGGGAUGUAAAACCCCCUCAGAGUAGCGAUUGGAGGGCAAGUCUGGUGCCAGCAGCCGCGGUAAUUCCAGCUCCAAUAGUGUAUAUUAGAGUUGUUGCAGUUAAAAAGCUCGUAGUUGGAUUUCUGCUGUGAUCAUCUGAGACCACCCUUAGGGGCGGUGCGAGGAUUGAUUGUGGCAUAUUUCUAGUAGCCUGUAGCGAUGCUUAAUUGCGUGGCUGGGGGUGUUCUAGAACUUUUACUUUGAGAAAAAUAGAGUGUUUCAAGCAGGCUUGUGGCCUUGAAUACUGCAGCAUGGAAUAAUAAGAUAGGACCUUGGUUCUAUUUUGUUGGCUUCUGGGACCGAGGUAAUGAUUAAUAGGGACAGUUGGGGGCAUUCGUAUUUAACUGUCAGAGGUGAAAUUCUUAGAUUUG